This 930-nucleotide long non-coding RNA is filed under the name Gossypium raimondii (Peruvian cotton). Its description in RNAcentral is "long non-coding RNA (GRAI_LNC010263)". Lineage: Eukaryota; Viridiplantae; Streptophyta; Magnoliopsida; Malvales; Malvaceae. The record is from RNAcentral.
CUUUUUCUCGUGACUAGAAUUGUUGUCGUGGUAAUAGACGUGCCCACAACCAAUGGGUUGCAAUGCUAAAAAAUAAAAAUGGGGGUUUUAAAUUGAUUAAGAUAAUAAAAUAAGGAGAUACGAAAAAUAAAAUAAAAUAAAAAUAGAUUCAAAAAUGAAAAAAUAAAUGUAAGAAAAUAAAAUAAAUAUUUUUUAAGCUUAGCCUUAGCCUCAGUGUACUCUAAUCUUGAAUGGAUCCUUGAAAUAGAAUUUUCCUUCCAAUCGAUAAGCUGAUUAUAGCAAUCAAGGAUCCCUCAAACUGCCAACUCUUCCUCUCGUAGUUGAUCCCGGUAUCACUUGCAAAUUGACCCUUCUCAAAAUUCCAACCACAUGGCACGUACCCUUAAUUUAAGAUUUCGACAACCUUGCGAUCUGAAAAGCUCAACUUGAAUUAACGGCCUCAACCGUGUGGGUCGUUUAAAUUCGAUUACUGUCUCCCUUGACCGAAUCCAACUAGCUUUUUUCCAAUUGAACACGUCAAUUUGUUCGCGGGAUUUUGAAUACAGCACCACCGACUCAACUUCCCAAUUGUACGCCAAACGAUUCCAACCCAACGCGCACUUUUUGAAUUGAAAUUGAAUCAACUUUGAGGGAUGAAUUUGUUCUAUCCCAUAUACCGGAGAGAUAGCAAAUACGAAAUUGUAAAGUAUUUAGUGUGAGUUUAUAUCUCACAGUUACUUUGUCGAAGUGAUAACCGGCUAAAGUUAAAAAGGAUUUAAUUAAUCAUGAAAAAAAUCAUGCUUUGGAAAGUGGUUUUGUGAAAUUGUGGAAAGUGGAAAGAAAAAAGGCCUUGGAAGGAAUUAAACCAAAAGGUUGAAAAUAAAAGAAAGAAAAAAUUGAAAUGGCAGAAUAUAUCAUGAAAAAAAUUAUUAAAUACCAAAGUUCAAGUGU